RNAcentral lists this ribosomal RNA (253 nucleotides) under uncultured bacterium. RNAcentral's name for it is "partial 16S ribosomal RNA". It matches the Rfam family "Bacterial small subunit ribosomal RNA", at positions 524 to 776 of the family's 1533-position model. The record is from RNAcentral.
UACGAAGGGGGCUAGCGUUGUUCGGAAUUACUGGGCGUAAAGCGCGCGUAGGCGGAUUUGUAAGUCAGGGGUGAAAGCCCGGGGCUCAACCCCGGAACUGCCUUUGAUACUGCAAGUCUAGAGGUCGAGAGAGGUGAGUGGAAUUCCGAGUGUAGAGGUGAAAUUCGUAGAUAUUCGGAGGAACACCAGUGGCGAAGGCGGCUCACUGGCUCGAUACUGACGCUGAGGUGCGAAAGCGUGGGGAGCAAACAGG